CAAGAGCUACGUUGUACGUAGUGCUAAUAAAGUUUUAACCUAAGUUGAUAAUCGGGAGUUUAAGAGAAAAAGCGGAAAUGACAAACCUUUGUCUAUAAGACGUGAAGGGCACGCAGGAACGCUUUUGCAAACACCCACUUGUUGAGAGUGGUGGUUUAAAAACUUCAUUAUCCAAUACGGCAAAAGUGGCUCGUUA
RNAcentral lists this non-coding RNA (196 nucleotides) under Pallidibacillus pasinlerensis. Its description in RNAcentral is "6S RNA". It matches the Rfam family "6S / SsrS RNA". From Rfam's summary of the family: E. coli 6S RNA was the first non coding RNA to be sequenced, but its function was unknown until recently. It consists of 184 nucleotides that fold into an extended hairpin structure with a large single-stranded internal bulge. Lineage: Bacteria; Bacillati; Bacillota; Bacilli; Caryophanales; Bacillaceae. The record is from RNAcentral.